GACGAACGCUGGCGGCACGCUUAACACAUGCAAGUCGAACGAACUCUUCGGAGUGAGUGGCAGACGGGUGCGUAACACGUGGGAACCUACCCUAAGGUACGGAAUAACGUCGAGAAAUUGACGCUAAUACCGUAUAUGUCUUCGGAUGAAAGAUUUAUCGCCUUAGGAUGGGCCCGCGGUUGAUUAGGUAGUUGGUGGGGUAAUGGCCUACCAAGCCGACGAUCAAUAGCUGGUCUGAGAGGAUGAUCAGCCACACUGGAACUGAGACACGGUCCAGACUCCUACGGGAGGCAGCAGUGAGGAAUAUUGGACAAUGGGGGCAACCCUGAUCCAGCGAUGCCGCGUGAGUGAUGAAGGCCUUAGGGUUGUAAAACUCUUUCACCGGCGAAGAUAAUGACGGUAACCGGAGAAGAAGCCCCGGCUAAUUUCG
This 430-nucleotide ribosomal RNA is filed under the name uncultured Alphaproteobacteria bacterium. Its description in RNAcentral is "bacterial SSU rRNA". It matches the Rfam family "Bacterial small subunit ribosomal RNA", at positions 28 to 505 of the family's 1533-position model. The record is from RNAcentral. Lineage: Bacteria; Pseudomonadati; Pseudomonadota; Alphaproteobacteria.